This 240-nucleotide ribosomal RNA is filed under the name uncultured Thermoplasmatales archaeon. Its description in RNAcentral is "partial 16S ribosomal RNA". It matches the Rfam family "Archaeal small subunit ribosomal RNA", at positions 1098 to 1338 of the family's 1478-position model. The record is from RNAcentral. Lineage: Archaea; Methanobacteriati; Thermoplasmatota; Thermoplasmata; Thermoplasmatales.
AAGGGGACCGCUGGCGCUAAGUCAGAGGAAGGAGAGGUCAACGGUAGGUCAGUAUGCCCCGAAUCUCCCGGGCUACACGCGCGCUACAAAGGACAGGACAAUGGGAUGACAAUACCGAGAGGUAACGCCAACCCGAAACCUGUUCGUAGUUCGGACUGGGGGCUGUAACUCGCCCUCACGAAGCUGGAUUCCGUAGUAAUCGCGGGUCAACAUCCCGCGGUGAAUAUGCCCCUGCUCUUU